UACGUAGGGGGCAAGCGUUGUCCGGAUUUAUUGGGCGUAAAGAGCGUGUAGGCGGCCUGAAAGGUCAGCUGUGAAAACUCGAGGCUUAACCUCGAGACGUCGGUUGAAACCAUCUGGCUAGAGUCCGGAAGAGGAGUGUGGAAUUCCCGGUGUAGCGGUGAAAUGCGCAGAUAUCGGAAGGAACACCGGUGGCGAAAGCGGCGCGCUGGAUCUCUUCUGACGCUGAGGCGCGAAAGCCAGGGGAGCAAGCGGGG
RNAcentral lists this ribosomal RNA (254 nucleotides) under uncultured bacterium. Its description in RNAcentral is "partial 16S ribosomal RNA". It matches the Rfam family "Bacterial small subunit ribosomal RNA", at positions 524 to 777 of the family's 1533-position model. The record is from RNAcentral.